This 27-nucleotide transfer RNA is filed under the name Elaphoglossum burchellii. Its description in RNAcentral is "partial tRNA-Ser". Lineage: Eukaryota; Viridiplantae; Streptophyta; Polypodiopsida; Polypodiales; Dryopteridaceae. The record is from RNAcentral. RNAcentral also lists the same sequence under 1 other name.
AGGAAAGGGAGGGAUUCGAACCCUCGG